UCAGAGUGAAAUAAAACACUUUUCACUCAAUCAAACACAUCCAACCCUCUUUCACAAUCUCCACCAUGUUUCUCCAAAUUCCAAAUCAAAUUAAACCUUACAUGAACCCUAAUAUUUCAAACUAAAAUUAAAUCGUCAAGGAGAGGAAUCAAGCCACACAACCUUGGGGCUUUGAUUCCCCUCAUCAAGAGCUACAUGUUGGUAACCCAAAUGGAGAAAAUGAGUGAAGUUUGGAGGGCUUACCUACAAGGCGGAGGCUGCCUUGGAGAUUGUUUAAGCACCCGAAGUUGUGGACGAAGAUGAAAAUACCAGAGAAAAACGAUCAAGGACUAGUGGGCUUAUGAUAUUUGGUGUGGGAUGGCAAGGUUUGAAGACAUGGCUUAAGCAUGGUGGUGGCAGAGUUUGAAGACAUGGACCAAAAUUUUCAUGGAACCAAAUGGAUCAUGAAGGAAAAUCAUGGCAUGAUUGAAGAGAAUCUUGAAAAGGGGAGACCAAAGUGGAUUUAGGGGCUAGAAUAGUUAGUUUGACUUUGGUCAAUUAUUGACCAAAGUCAACUUUAGGUCAACAAUUUAUAUUUUUUUGUAGAAUUGGAUUUUGAACUUCUUGUAAUGGAACUUUGGGUGAUUUGUAAUGAAAGUGGCCCUUGAAUUGUA
Lathyrus oleraceus (garden pea) is the source of this 653-nucleotide long non-coding RNA. RefSeq lists it as uncharacterized. The record is from RefSeq and is a predicted model, not a curated record. NCBI's taxonomy places the organism in Eukaryota, Viridiplantae, Streptophyta, Magnoliopsida, Fabales, Fabaceae. The transcript is spliced from 2 exons.